GACGAACCGUGCAACCGUUGUUCGGAAUCACUGGGCUUAAAGGGCGCGUAGGCGGGCUCCCAAGUCGGUGGUGAAAUCUUUCGGCCCAACCGGAAAAGUGCCGCCGAUACUGGGAGUCUCGAGGGAGGUAGGGGUCGAGGGAACUCUAGGUGGAGCGGUGAAAUGCGUAGAUAUCAGGAGGAACACCGGUGGCGAAGGCGGGUCUCUGGGCAACUACUGACGCUGAGGAGCGAAAGCGUGGGGAGCGAACAGG
RNAcentral lists this ribosomal RNA (253 nucleotides) under uncultured bacterium. RNAcentral's name for it is "partial 16S ribosomal RNA". It matches the Rfam family "Bacterial small subunit ribosomal RNA", at positions 524 to 776 of the family's 1533-position model. The record is from RNAcentral.